UACGUAGGGUGCAAGCGUUGUCCGGAAUUAUUGGGCGUAAAGAGCUCGUAGGCGGUCUGUCACGUCGGUCGUGAAAACUUGGGGCUUAACCCUGAGCUUGCGGUCGAUACGGGCAUGACUUGAGUUCGGCAGGGGAGACUGGAAUUCCUGGUGUAGCGGUGAAAUGCGCAGAUAUCAGGAGGAACACCGGUGGCGAGGGCAGCCCCCUGGGUCGACACUGACGCUCAUGCACGAAAGCGUGGGGAGCAAACAGG
Molecule: ribosomal RNA, 254 nt
Filed under: uncultured bacterium
Lineage: Bacteria
Description: partial 16S ribosomal RNA
Rfam family: Bacterial small subunit ribosomal RNA
Source: RNAcentral